Molecule: ribosomal RNA, 2340 nt
Filed under: Escherichia coli
Lineage: Bacteria; Pseudomonadati; Pseudomonadota; Gammaproteobacteria; Enterobacterales; Enterobacteriaceae
Description: bacterial LSU rRNA
Rfam family: Bacterial large subunit ribosomal RNA
Source: RNAcentral
CGUGAGGGAAAGGCGAAAAGAACCCCGGCGAGGGGAGUGAAAAAGAACCUGAAACCGUGUACGUACAAGCAGUGGGAGCACGCUUAGGCGUGUGACUGCGUACCUUUUGUAUAAUGGGUCAGCGACUUAUAUUCUGUAGCAAGGUUAACCGAAUAGGGGAGCCGAAGGGAAACCGAGUCUUAACUGGGCGUUAAGUUGCAGGGUAUAGACCCGAAACCCGGUGAUCUAGCCAUGGGCAGGUUGAAGGUUGGGUAACACUAACUGGAGGACCGAACCGACUAAUGUUGAAAAAUUAGCGGAUGACUUGUGGCUGGGGGUGAAAGGCCAAUCAAACCGGGAGAUAGCUGGUUCUCCCCGAAAGCUAUUUAGGUAGCGCCUCGUGAAUUCAUCUCCGGGGGUAGAGCACUGUUUCGGCAAGGGGGUCAUCCCGACUUACCAACCCGAUGCAAACUGCGAAUACCGGAGAAUGUUAUCACGGGAGACACACGGCGGGUGCUAACGUCCGUCGUGAAGAGGGAAACAACCCAGACCGCCAGCUAAGGUCCCAAAGUCAUGGUUAAGUGGGAAACGAUGUGGGAAGGCCCAGACAGCCAGGAUGUUGGCUUAGAAGCAGCCAUCAUUUAAAGAAAGCGUAAUAGCUCACUGGUCGAGUCGGCCUGCGCGGAAGAUGUAACGGGGCUAAACCAUGCACCGAAGCUGCGGCAGCGACGCUGAUGCGUUGUUGGGUAGGGGAGCGUUCUGUAAGCCUGCGAAGGUGUGCUGUGAGGCAUGCUGGAGGUAUCAGAAGUGCGAAUGCUGACAUAAGUAACGAUAAAGCGGGUGAAAAGCCCGCUCGCCGGAAGACCAAGGGUUCCUGUCCAACGUUAAUCGGGGCAGGGUGAGUCGACCCCUAAGGCGAGGCCGAAAGGCGUAGUCGAUGGGAAACAGGUUAAUAUUCCUGUACUUGGUGUUACUGCGAAGGGGGGACGGAGAAGGCUAUGUUGGCCGGGCGACGGUUGUCCCGGUUUAAGCGUGUAGGCUGGUUUUCCAGGCAAAUCCGGAAAAUCAAGGCUGAGGCGUGAUGACGAGGCACUACGGUGCUGAAGCAACAAAUGCCCUGCUUCCAGGAAAAGCCUCUAAGCAUCAGGUAACAUCAAAUCGUACCCCAAACCGACACAGGUGGUCAGGUAGAGAAUACCAAGGCGCUUGAGAGAACUCGGGUGAAGGAACUAGGCAAAAUGGUGCCGUAACUUCGGGAGAAGGCACGCUGAUAUGUAGGUGAAGUCCCUUGCGGAUGGAGCUGAAAUCAGUCGAAGAUACCAGCUGGCUGCAACUGUUUAUUAAAAACACAGCACUGUGCAAACACGAAAGUGGACGUAUACGGUGUGACGCCUGCCCGGUGCCGGAAGGUUAAUUGAUGGGGUCAGCGCAAGCGAAGCUCUUGAUCGAAGCCCCGGUAAACGGCGGCCGUAACUAUAACGGUCCUAAGGUAGCGAAAUUCCUUGUCGGGUAAGUUCCGACCUGCACGAAUGGCGUAAUGAUGGCCAGGCUGUCUCCACCCGAGACUCAGUGAAAUUGAACUCGCUGUGAAGAUGCAGUGUACCCGCGGCAAGACGGAAAGACCCCGUGAACCUUUACUAUAGCUUGACACUGAACAUUGAGCCUUGAUGUGUAGGAUAGGUGGGAGGCUUUGAAGUGUGGACGCCAGUCUGCAUGGAGCCGACCUUGAAAUACCACCCUUUAAUGUUUGAUGUUCUAACGUUGACCCGUAAUCCGGGUUGCGGACAGUGUCUGGUGGGUAGUUUGACUGGGGCGGUCUCCUCCUAAAGAGUAACGGAGGAGCACGAAGGUUGGCUAAUCCUGGUCGGACAUCAGGAGGUUAGUGCAAUGGCAUAAGCCAGCUUGACUGCGAGCGUGACGGCGCGAGCAGGUGCGAAAGCAGGUCAUAGUGAUCCGGUGGUUCUGAAUGGAAGGGCCAUCGCUCAACGGAUAAAAGGUACUCCGGGGAUAACAGGCUGAUACCGCCCAAGAGUUCAUAUCGACGGCGGUGUUUGGCACCUCGAUGUCGGCUCAUCACAUCCUGGGGCUGAAGUAGGUCCCAAGGGUAUGGCUGUUCGCCAUUUAAAGUGGUACGCGAGCUGGGUUUAGAACGUCGUGAGACAGUUCGGUCCCUAUCUGCCGUGGGCGCUGGAGAACUGAGGGGGGCUGCUCCUAGUACGAGAGGACCGGAGUGGACGCAUCACUGGUGUUCGGGUUGUCAUGCCAAUGGCACUGCCCGGUAGCUAAAUGCGGAAGAGAUAAGUGCUGAAAGCAUCUAAGCACGAAACUUGCCCCGAGAUGAGUUCUCCCUGACUCCUUGAG